GGGUUUUUAGCUCAGCUGGUAGAGCAACGGACUCUUAAUCCGUGUGUCCAGGGUUCGAGCCCCUGAAGACCCACCA
Molecule: transfer RNA, 76 nt
Filed under: Tenericutes bacterium HGW-Tenericutes-8
Lineage: Bacteria; Bacillati; Mycoplasmatota
Description: tRNA-Lys
Rfam family: tRNA
About the family: Transfer RNA (tRNA) molecules are approximately 80 nucleotides in length. Their secondary structure includes four short double-helical elements and three loops (D, anti-codon, and T loops). Further hydrogen bonds mediate the characteristic L-shaped molecular structure. tRNAs have two regions of fundamental functional importance: the anti-codon, which is responsible for specific mRNA codon recognition, and the 3' end, to which the tRNAs corresponding amino acid is attached (by aminoacyl-tRNA synthetases). tRNAs cope with the degeneracy of the genetic code in two manners: having more than one tRNA (with a specific anti-codon) for a particular amino acid; and 'wobble' base-pairing, i.e. permitting non-standard base-pairing at the 3rd anti-codon position.
Source: RNAcentral